ACCGGCGCACGGGUGAGUAACGCGUAUGCAACCUACCUUCAACUGGGGGAUAGCCCAGGGAAACUUGGAUUAAUACCCCAUAGUAUUUAUGAAUCGCAUGGUUUAUAAAUUAAAGUUCCGGCGGUUGAAGAUGGGCAUGCGUGCCAUUAGUUAGUUGGUGAGGUAACGGCUCACCAAGACAGCGAUGGCUACGGGGUCUAAAAGGAUGGUCCCGCACACUGGUACUGAGACACGGACCAGACUCCUACGGGAGGCAGCAGUGAGGAAUAUUGGUCAAUGGGCGCAAGCCUGAACCAGCCAUGCCGCGUGCAGGAAGACGGCCCUAUGGGUUGUAAACUGCUUUUGUACGGGAAUAAUAACCACGACGUGUCGUGGGACGAAGGUACCGUACGAAUAAGCAUCGGCUAACUCCGUGCCAGCAGCCGCGGUAAUACGGAGGAUGCAGGCGUUAUCCGGAUUUAUUAGGUUUAAAGGGUGCGCAGGCGGCCCGGUAAGUCAGUGGUGAAAGUUUGCAGCUUAACUGUAAAAUUGCCAUUGAUACUGUCGGGCUUGAAUGUGGUAGAGGUAGGCGGAAUGUGUAGUGUAGCGGUGAAAUGCUUAGAUAUUACACAGAACACCGAUUGCGAAGGCAGCUUACUAUGCCAUGAUUGACGCUGAGGCACGAAAGCGUGGGGAGCGAACAGGAUUAGAUACCCUGGUAGUCCACGCCGUAAACGAUGAUUACUGGUUGUGUGCGAUAUACAGUGCGCGACUGAGGGAAACCAUUAAGUAAUCCACCUGGGGAGUACGGUCGCAAGACUGAAACUCAAAGGAAUUGACGGGGGCCCGCACAAGCGGAGGAACAUGUGGUUUAAUUCGAUGAUACGCGAGGAACCUU
RNAcentral lists this ribosomal RNA (877 nucleotides) under uncultured bacterium. RNAcentral describes it as "bacterial SSU rRNA". It matches the Rfam family "Bacterial small subunit ribosomal RNA", at positions 94 to 972 of the family's 1533-position model. The record is from RNAcentral.